This 358-nucleotide unclassified non-coding RNA is filed under the name Zea mays. RNAcentral's name for it is "misc RNA Zm00001eb425820". The record is from RNAcentral. Lineage: Eukaryota; Viridiplantae; Streptophyta; Magnoliopsida; Poales; Poaceae.
GACGGCUCGUGCUCCCAUGCUUUAUCGUCGGUAAAAUCGCCGUUGUACGAUGCGGCUGCGACUCAUCGACAAGCGAAGGUGAUUUGGUGUGGCUGGGUGUUUUGGCGCGAUUUUUUUCCUCACCACACGGGGAGGAAGGCAUCCGCGGCGCCGUCAUUUGUGCUGGAUGCGGCGGGGAUGCAGGAACUUCUAGAUGCGGCGGCGGCGCGGAAGCAGACUGGCGAUGCAGCACCGUCGGUGGCUAAGAGGACCGGCAUGGGGAAGGCGGCAGCAGCAGGGUCGACACGCUUGCAACGUGCUAUGGAGGCGGACUUUCAAGGAGCAGGCACAGCGGAGGGCCGCCAGCGGCCAGGCACAG